CCUACGGGCGGCAGCAGUGGGGAAUAUUGGACAAUGGGGGCAACCCUGAUCCAGCCAUGCCGCGUGUGUGAAGAAGGCCCUCGGGUUGUAAAGCACUUUCAGUGAGGAAGAACGCCUGGUGGUUAAUACCCAUCAGGAAAGACAUCACUCACAGAAGAAGCACCGGCUAACUCCGUGCCAGCAGCCGCGGUAAUACGGAGGGUGCGAGCGUUAAUCGGAAUUACUGGGCGUAAAGCGCGCGUAGGUGGCUUGAUAAGCCGGUUGUGAAAGCCCCGGGCUCAACCUGGGAACGGCAUCCGGAACUGUCAAGCUAGAGUGCAGGAGAGGAAGGUAGAAUUCCCGGUGUAGCGGUGAAAUGCGUAGAGAUCGGGAGGAAUACCAGUGGCGAAGGCGGCCUUCUGGACUGACACUGACACUGAGGUGCGAAAGCGUGGGUAGCAAACAGGAUUAGAUACCCGAGUAGUA
This 465-nucleotide ribosomal RNA is filed under the name Vreelandella stevensii. RNAcentral describes it as "partial 16S ribosomal RNA". It matches the Rfam family "Bacterial small subunit ribosomal RNA", at positions 338 to 795 of the family's 1533-position model. Lineage: Bacteria; Pseudomonadati; Pseudomonadota; Gammaproteobacteria; Oceanospirillales; Halomonadaceae. The record is from RNAcentral.